UGACAAGAGAACCAUUUAAUGUAAUGAAAGAAACCACACCAUAUCACAGCAUGAAGCCGCCAGGCAGCUAAUGCAGCGGCCAUAACAAUUUUAAUUGCAAGGAUCGCAUCGGCCCAACAGUGCGAUGGUCUAACUGCCAACAAAAUCAUACUCCACACCAUUUAAUUAUUUUUUUGUUUUCGUUUCGUACUACAAUAGCCUACUUCAUUUUGAUGUCGGCUAUAUUUGUAAUUAAUUUUCUGACCAAUUUGUACAUAAUAAGCUGCUAAUGUUACUGUAUUAUAAAAAUGUAAAAAUGAGCUUAAGACUCAAUAAAUGUUUAAUAAACUUUCAUUUAUAUGCGAAGAGACUGACCAUUGACAUUAUUUAAAUAAAUACUAAUUAUCAAACCAUUGUUUCUAUUAUAUUAAUCAGUUUUUUUUUGCUUGCAAGGACUACCUGUGGUGAUGUCUGGUAUAUAAUAUUUAGUAUUUUUUCUAUUCUGUCAUUUGAAUGUGAAUUGUGAAUUGUAAAUAUGAAAGUUGUAUCUUAAAACAUAUAUUUAAAAUUAUUAUUAGUCGAAUUUUGAAUGUAUGUAUGUAUGUAUCUCACAAAAUGUAAUAUUUUCGUAUGAUGAUAUGAUGUUCAAAUUGUUAAUAUAUCUUGAUAUUAUUAUUUUCCUCGUGCUUUUUACAUGUAACAACGUAAAUAAAUUGUUUCCUUUA
This is a long non-coding RNA of Zerene cesonia (dogface butterfly), 704 nucleotides long. RefSeq lists it as uncharacterized. NCBI's taxonomy places the organism in Eukaryota, Metazoa, Arthropoda, Insecta, Lepidoptera, Pieridae. The transcript has 2 exons. The record is from RefSeq and is a predicted model, not a curated record.